AGUGAACGCUGGCGGUAGGCCUAACACAUGCCAGUCGAACGGCAGCACAGUAAGAGCUUGCUCUUACGGGUGGCGAGUGGCGGACGGGUGAGGAAUACAUCUGAAUCUACUUUUUCGUGGGGGAUAACGUAGGGAAACUUACGCUAAUACCGCAUACGCCCUACGGGUGAAAGCAGGGGAUCUUCGGACCUUGCGCGAUUGCAUGAGCCGAUGUCGGCUUAGCUAGUUGGCGGAGUAAAGGCCCACCAAGGCGACGAUCCGUAGCUGGUCUGAGAGGAUGAACAGACACACUGAGACUGAGACACGGUACAGACUCCUACGGGAGGCAGCAGUGGGGAAUAUUGGACAAUGGGCGCAAGCCUGAUCCAGCCAUACCGCGUGGGUGAAGAAGGCCUUCGGGUUGUAAAGCCCUUUUGUUGGGAAAGAAAAGCAGCAGGUUAAUACCCCGCUGUUCUGACGGUACCCAAAGAAUAAGCACCGGCUAACUUAGUG
Molecule: ribosomal RNA, 492 nt
Filed under: uncultured bacterium
Lineage: Bacteria
Description: partial 16S ribosomal RNA
Rfam family: Bacterial small subunit ribosomal RNA
Source: RNAcentral